This is a long non-coding RNA of Apis cerana (Asiatic honeybee), 1133 nucleotides long. RefSeq lists it as uncharacterized. NCBI's taxonomy places the organism in Eukaryota, Metazoa, Arthropoda, Insecta, Hymenoptera, Apidae. The record is from RefSeq and is a predicted model, not a curated record.
AGAUCCAGUUGCUGGCGCGCUGCCUGAAACUUAGGGGUCGAUCGACUGGCCGAAACAUAGAAUGGCCGUGAAUGGUGACUUAAUGCGAACGGUAGUUGAACCUGCUAUAAAAAGACGUGUUUUGGUUAAACAGAUUGAAUUGAAAUAAGUGUAAAGAUUCAAUGCAAUUAAAGAUAAUAAUAUCUUUAAGAAGAACGAAAUUUAUGAACAAAUUUUAUAAGAAUCAAAGGAAACUAUAAUUCUGCCUGCAACAAGUAUAAACCAGUCAAGAUUUAUAUCCGAAAAAACUAGAUCGAUUUGUUGAUCUAUAAAAAUUCAAUUCCAACGUAGAGAAAAACGAUUCAAUGGAAACUUUGUUCCACGAUCGAGUGACGUAAAUGGAAUGCGCGAAAAAAUUUAAUUUAUCGAAGGCAUUGUUUUCCAUUACGUAAAAAGAAGGAACGGCAAUAUAUCGUCGAAAAGAGUUCUUCAGGACACGGAGCAAGUUUUACAGAUCACAUCAUUUAAAAGGAGACAUUGUUUCACGAGCUAAAAAGCUGAAAGUGACCAGUCACCAAGAAAGUUGCUAGUCGAUAAGAAUUAGUAAUGCGAACUGGCUAAAUAUGACUAGAUACUUCUUAUUGUUAUAGUCAAGUAGAUAAGAACAAAGGGCCGGCAUUGCGAAAGGAAAAGGAGGAACGUUAAUGGCCUUUCCAACGAGGAGAACUUGACAAAUAGUGGUCGACGGCGAUGAAAGAGCGGCUGCGUUUCGUUACACGGCCGCGUAACGAGUUCGGUCUUUCAGAGCGGGAAAAGGGUCGACCAUAAAGAACCGAGGCGAUGCGGAGGACAGCCUGGAUCGGGAGCUUUUGUGACUACCUACUGCCUACGCGAGCCUAAGAUAUAUCACGUGUCUGGAACAGUCGAGGGAAACGAGCGAGGGAAAAUUUGAAAAACGCAAUGUCCGAGGCCAGGAUAUAAAUUAACAUACACCAAUGUGCCAGUUAACUUACAUGUAGUCUGAAUCUAGUAGAGUACUAGAACGCUGUGGAUGACAGGCUGAAUAAAGAGUACUAGAAGUAUUGAUAUGUAAUAUGGAAAUGAAAUUGAAUGAAAUGGGAAUAGAAAUAAAUUUCUUAGUUAACGAUGCGUAU